RNAcentral lists this long non-coding RNA (201 nucleotides) under Setaria viridis. Its description in RNAcentral is "long non-coding RNA (SVIR_LNC003221)". The record is from RNAcentral. Lineage: Eukaryota; Viridiplantae; Streptophyta; Magnoliopsida; Poales; Poaceae.
AUGGUGUUAGUUCUAUCUUGCAAAAAAAGAAGAGAGAAAGAAUAAGGAAAAAAAGAGUGAAAAAAAGAAAAGGAAAGAAAAUAAGAGAGAUGAGAAAAGAAGAAGAAGAAGAAGAAGAAGAAGAAGAAGAAGAAGAAAGGAGGAAAAACAAAAGAAGAGAAAUGAAAAAAUAGAAAAAUAAAGGAGAAGAAGAGAGCAAGA